Molecule: long non-coding RNA, 654 nt
Organism: Harpia harpyja (harpy eagle)
Lineage: Eukaryota; Metazoa; Chordata; Aves; Accipitriformes; Accipitridae
Exons: 2
Source: RefSeq, a predicted model, not a curated record
AGGGGCGCCCGGCCCCGCUCACCUUCUCCCUCUCCCUCGGGGCAGCUGCAGCCUGGCCACCGCUCCGCUCCUGCCUGGGCUCCCACCGGCCCUGCCGCGGCCCCUCCCCCGGCAGCCCUCCCUUUCCAGGGAGGGGCCGUUGCCAUCUGCCUCACUGCCGGCACCUGGGGCUCCUUCAGCCCCGGCCCGCAGCUGUGGUACCUAAAUCCAGAAUAAAACUCCAGAACACCAAUGUGAAGUUAAGAAGCAGGCGCUUCGUUUAUGGAAUGAAAGAUGUCAAGAGUCAUCUUAUUUUGAAGAGUUGUUAACUGGGGUCCACCAUCGAGGCCACAAGGGAGAUUUCUUCCAGAGAGAGGAUAGAGUUAUUAAGUCUAAAGUCCAUUAUUUGCUUUUGUCCUUCAGGAAAAGGUGAGUGGAUCAUGUAUCAUCACUAUGCACCCAAACAGUUAACCCUAAACUUUUCACCUGUCCUUUAAUACAGUCAAUUCCAAGCUAAUUUUUUUGCAUUAUUAGGAGGGGACCCAGGAUCAUUUAAAAUAUUAUUAUACUUUCUACAAAUACAUCCCCCAUCUUAGAGCUUUAGCUACUAGAGAAAGUCUUUGGAUUUUGGGGUCGGAGGAGUUGCAAGUCUAAACUUUCAUACCAUUCUGUUUA